RNAcentral lists this long non-coding RNA (2518 nucleotides) under Acyrthosiphon pisum (pea aphid). RNAcentral describes it as "uncharacterized LOC103308414, transcript variant X1". The record is from RNAcentral. Lineage: Eukaryota; Metazoa; Arthropoda; Insecta; Hemiptera; Aphididae.
ACGAGUUAAAAAAAUCGUUAACUUGCCCAGCCUUGCAAAAUGAUUUGUAAUAUUAUAUUAUAUUACAAUAAUAAUAUUCAAUAAUAUUUUGUUUUCGGAAUGGCGACGUUGUAUUUAAAUUCAUUCGGAAUCGUGUAUGUACUUUUGAAAUUUGCGGAAUUGUAUAUUAUGUAUUUCAAUGGUUAUUAAAAUCAACACGAUUCUGCAAAUUUUCGGAAUCGUGUUAUAGCUACAGUAACGCUCUCCGUGUCACACAAAAUUAUAGAAUGACCCCCAGCCAUAAGACUUAUACAUGUCAAAAAGGAGAAGAUGGUUAAGUAUUUCAAAAAAAUUAAAAUGUUGAUGUAGAUAUAUUGUGUAUUUAUAAACUAUUUUAGCCAUUGAGAAAGUAUCUCUGAUAAGUAAGAUUCAGUGACCCAUGAAUGAAUCUUUAGAGAUUAUAUAACUAUUAAAUUAUUACAUUUUUUAUGGUACCUUCUAAAAAUGUGUAUUAUAUUAUUUUGUUUGAAUAAUUUUAAAAUAUAAUAGAUAUUCUGAUUGAAUAUGCUAAAUUUCAAAAUAAUAAACAUGCUAACAUAAAAAACGUGGAAUUUGAAGCUAACCUAGAUAAAAAAAAUUGCAAAUUAGUAUAAAACUAACCAUGCACAAAAAUCUAUUUCUAUUUUUUAUUUAGCAACAACACGGAUUUAUUUACACUAUAAGAUCAAGGGUAUGUAUAAUUUGUAUAUUUUAUGUGUUUUAUCAUUUUUUUACUUUCCCUUCUCUUGGAAUUUCCAUAUGACCAAUGGGAACAUACUUCCAAAUUCAUUUUUGUAUUCCACAAAUAUAUGGAAAUAUAGUGUACAAAGUAAUGCGAGUUCUAUCCAAAUCAAAAGAACAAAAUAUAAUACCACGAAAAAUAUAUGUUAUGUUAAGUUCACGAUUUAAUAAUGGCAUAUAAAUAUCAAGAUUUGUGUAUCAUAAUAUAUAUUAUAAUUUAUGACAUGUAAUAUUAUGAGCAUAUUUUACUGUAAAUGAUUAUCAUCAGACACGUUACAUAACAUUUACUUAAUUUUUUAAAUUUCUGUCAGCCAAGAUUUACCUUAACAGGUAACGUCACAGCAGAUUAUCAGAAACGCCUUUACCUAUCUAGGAGUUAAAAUAACUAUAAUUCAUAAACUGAAAUUUAUGGUAAAAUAUCAAGAAAAAGUACUAGCAUUAAAUGCAGAUACCGAGAAAACAAUUUAGUCAAAAUACCCAGUAAGCUAUUGAUGUCUAUAAUACCACUUAUAUUGUCUGUAUAUAUUAUUACAUUUUUAACUCUUUAUUAUUGUAUGAAUUAAUGUAAUUAUAAUAGGCGGUACUAUUAAUAUAUUGUUAUCAAUGGACAAUGGCAAUGACAUUAUAUUGUUAUUGCAUAAGUUUUUAAUAGUUAACUAGGUAGAACAGAAAUAUUAUGUGAUAUUGCUACUACUUACUAGCUGACGUGGAAAUGCGUUGCUAUUGAUAGAUUUUUGAAAUUAUGAGAGUUGUAUAAUAUCAGUUAGGCAAUCUACCGGCGGUAGAUCACGGACUCUGCGUGGUGCAAGUGCAUAAUUUAACUCUAAAGUAUCAAAAAAUACAAACAAUUUGUCCACCGAAACCGUAGUUCAAAAUCGAUACAUUCUGUACUAAAAUAAAUAGGAUUAGCGCAUUAAUAAUAAUAAUAAUUUUUAUUAAAAUCAAUGGGUCAAUAUGAAUGUGAUCAUUCACAAUACACCAAUACAAACAAUUAUAAACAAAAAAUAAUAAUUUUAAUAAUAUUCUCAAAAUCCCUGUUUGAGAACUGCCCAAGGUUGGACCUCUUAUUUACCAUUUUUCGUGAAAAAUGUUCUUCCCCAAAGUAUAUUCUAUCUCUGCACCAAAUUUCAUUUUCGUUUAAGUAAAGGACACAGAUUAGUCGAGUACACAAAUGUUUGUCUUUUAUAAUAAAAUAUCUGAUCCCACGCACUUCGUUUCCCGACAACCAAUAAUUAUUAUUAUUAUAGCUUGAAAACCCAUGGUAACCAUUCAUAAACAAAAUUGUCCAUCGGAAAUCUCAAAAUCCCCGUUUGAGCUCCACCCGGGGUUGGUCCUAUCAUUUUUGAAAAUAGCUUAUCUUCAAUCUAAUAUAUCUAUGUACCAAAUGAUCCCGUUCACUUCGUUGCCUGCAACCAAUAAUUAUUAUUAAAAUAGCUUCAAAACCCCAUAGGUUAACCAUGACAACUCAGGCAGAUAAACAUUCAUUUCUCUCCCAGAGUUGGUUGCCAUGGUAAUGUGGACACACAAAUAGACACACAGAUACAUUCAUUUUAGACUCUGAGCAGAACAAUGUUGUUUAAUUUUUUUUUUCUUUUGUCCCGUGUACAAAAUUUCUACCAUAAGCAGUUCUUCAAUUUGAACAUGUAUUGUACCAUAUCUUUUUGAAAAUUGGAUCAAGAUGAUAUUUUAGAGAGGUCAUUUUUCGAUUUUCUCAAUAGUUAUUUAAUGCCACCGGAAAAACCACCGAAAAAUUACGAAA